UGAAACUCAACUUGCAGUAUCAUUGAAGCUGAUUACAAGGGAACCAAAGACACCGCCUAACACGGUUCUGAGGUGAAUAUGAUCAACCUUUGAAGAAGCUAAAUAACUGACAACCUGUCAAUAUAACCUGUCCCCUGCUGGAGCGCUCAACAGAAAGUAAUUAAGAGGACCCAGGCCACCAUCAGGCCCAAAGACUCGAUGUUGGUGGGAAACCUCUAAGGCUGUGGAGCCUCCAGUGGGCCGGAUUUGGGUGUCGGAAUGGAAACAAUUUGAUCACUCAGGCCAGGUGGACACAAAGAAGAGAUGGCCCUUUUCCUGCUCCUCGAUGUGAUAUCUGAACUCCUGCAGCCAUCUUGCAACCAUGAGGAGAGCUGGUCUGUGACAAAGCCCACAGUGCAAGGAAGACCAAGUUAAGAGAAAUGUAGCUUGGGCCCUGACCCUAAUGGACCUACAGGCAUUCUGCCUUUGGACUCCUCCCGUGCCCUAAUUCUCCUUUUGUUUAAGACAAUUGAGUUGGAGUUUUCAGUUCUUUGCAGUUGGAACAUCUUAGCUGAACCAAGUAUAGAAAAGUUCCUUCAGUUUACUUUUCCCAUAGCCAUGAGAAUUUUGACUCACGUACCCACAAGUCAUUUCUGUUUGUUUGGUAUAAUCAGAGAAGAAGGACUGGAAGAAGGUGGUGAAGAAAGAGAUAAAGUGGCUACAGGGCAGUGCAAGUUCUGCUGACAUGCAUUUAGGGGGCAGGGAGAUAAAAAACAACCCAGGGGGGUCCUUGGGACCUGAGAGAGAGAACAAACAAUACUUAAAUCAUAACAUUUUUAAAAAGCAGUAACAAAAAAGAUAAAAAUAUUUUUUAAAAAAAGAAAAAAGAGCUGACAUUUGGAUAUAACAACAGACACACAGAUCAGACCCUCCUGCUAUGGAUUGCCAGCAAAGAAGCAAAAGCAGUUACAGUGAUGCGGGGGAGGCCUGGGAAAAACCCUAACAAGAGAGGAUAAAAGAAGGUUCACUGUGAUCCCGCGAUAAUUAUUAAAUUG
Molecule: long non-coding RNA, 1034 nt
Organism: Lagenorhynchus albirostris (white-beaked dolphin)
Lineage: Eukaryota; Metazoa; Chordata; Mammalia; Artiodactyla; Delphinidae
Exons: 3
Source: RefSeq, a predicted model, not a curated record